CAAAACUCAAAAACUUAGUCUCAGUUCGGAUUGUAGGCUGAAACUCGCCUACAUGAAGCUGGAGUUGCUAGUAAUCGCGAAUCAGCAUGUCGCGGUGAAUACGUUCCCGGGCCUUGUACACACCGCCCGUCACACCAUGAGAGUUGGCAAUACCCAACGUACGUGAUCUAACCCGCAAGGGAGGAAGCGUCCUAAGGUAGGGUCAGCGAUUGGGGUGAAGUCGUAACAAGGUAUC
Molecule: ribosomal RNA, 235 nt
Filed under: uncultured bacterium
Lineage: Bacteria
Description: partial 16S ribosomal RNA
Rfam family: Bacterial small subunit ribosomal RNA
Source: RNAcentral